This 225-nucleotide ribosomal RNA is filed under the name uncultured bacterium. RNAcentral's name for it is "partial 16S ribosomal RNA". It matches the Rfam family "Bacterial small subunit ribosomal RNA", at positions 15 to 230 of the family's 1533-position model. The record is from RNAcentral.
GAUCCUGGCUCAGGAUGAACGCUAGCGACAGGCUUAACACAUGCAAGUCGAGGGGCAGCAUGAACUUAGCUUGCUAAGUUUGAUGGCGACCGGCGCGCGGGUGAGUAACGCGUAUGCAACUUGCCUAUCAGAGGAGAAUAGCUCAUCGAAAGAUGAAUUAAUGCUCCAUAAAACAGGGGUUCCGCAUGGGAAUAUUUGUUAAAGAUUUAUCGGUGAUGGAUGGGG